UAAAAGUUAAUAUAUUUCUUAGUUUUCUAACUGUAUAUUAUAUAUUAUAAAUAAACCAUUGUAAACAAGCUCGCCCGUCGCAUAGGUAUAAUUCCAGUUAGUAAAUAAAGAUCAGCCAAGAAUCUUGUGGUUAUCUCACACCCAUUAACUAGAACAGAAUUAGAUAAAAAUUAAUGAUAAAGUUGUGACAAAUUCAUAUGGCUGACAGCAUUCUUCUCAUUGACCUAGAAGAAAAAGUAUAGCUAUAAAGUGAACUCAAUUAAUAAGUUAUCAUCUCAUUGAAAUGGUUACACGAGAUGUAAUCAAAACCAGUGUUUGAAAAAGCGCGAGACGCGGAGAGGCGCAAGACUCUCCUGGAGCCUAGGCGCGAGGCGCACUGCGAGACGCUCGCCUCAAGAAGGCGAAGCGCACAUUUAUUAAGCCUAAUUUAAUUUGAUGUUCUACAUUAAAAAGGCCCAAAAUAACAAUCAAAAAGUAAAAAAAUGCAUGCAUAUAGUUUAAUUUGAUGUUCUUGCUGACGCUGCUGCUGUUUUCGCUGCUGUUGCUUCUUGUUUUCCUGCUGCUGCUUUUGGUUGCUUACUCUGGCCACCGCUGGUUUGCUGCCGUUGCUUCCUGCUGCUAGCACAGCUGUUGUUGGAUGCUCGAUAGGGAGAGAAUGUGGGAUAACAAAAGACGGAGAGGAGGGGGUGAGCGGCUGAUUUUUUUAGGGGUUUUUUGGGUUUCUUUCAAGAUUUGUUUAAGUAUUUUAUUAGGUUUAAAGUAUGAGAUGCAAAUUCAACACCUGACAAUCCGAAAACUUGAAUUUUUUUAGAUUUUUCUUAAUAUUUUUUAAGUAUAUUAUCGGGUUAAAGUAUAAGAUGCAAAUUCAAAACCCGACAAUCCGAAAACUUGAAUUUUUUUUGGAUUUCUUUUAAUAUUUUUUAAGUAUCUUAUCAGGUUAAAGUAUAAGAUGCAAAUUCAAAACCCGACAAUCCGAAAACUUGAAUUUUUUUAGAUUUUUCUUAAUAUUUUUUAAGUAUAUUAUCGGGUUAAAGUAUAAUAUGCAAAUUUAAAACCCAACAGCUCGAAAACUUGAAUAAAAAAUUCCUAAAAACUUAAAUAUUGCGAGGCGCGCGCCUCAGUAUAGCGCUGCGCCUCACUAUUGUUGAGGCGCGCGCCUCAAACCUAGGCACCGAGGCGCGCGCCUCUGACACGCCUUUUCAAACAGUGAUCAAAACAAACUAUAAGAAAAGCCAAGGGAGGUUAAGAUCGAUGG
This 1255-nucleotide long non-coding RNA is filed under the name Ananas comosus (pineapple). RNAcentral describes it as "long non-coding RNA (ACOM_LNC005052)". Lineage: Eukaryota; Viridiplantae; Streptophyta; Magnoliopsida; Poales; Bromeliaceae. The record is from RNAcentral.